RNAcentral lists this ribosomal RNA (253 nucleotides) under uncultured bacterium. RNAcentral describes it as "partial 16S ribosomal RNA". It matches the Rfam family "Bacterial small subunit ribosomal RNA", at positions 524 to 776 of the family's 1533-position model. The record is from RNAcentral.
AACGUAGGACGCAAGCGUUAUCCGGAGUUACUGGGCGUAAAGCGCGGGCAGGCGGUCUUGCCAGUCUGAUGUGAAAUCUCUCAGCUCAACUGGGAGCAGCCAUCGGAAACUACAAGACUGGAGUCUGACAGAGGUAGGCGGAAUUCCGGGUGGAGUGGUGAAAUGCGUAGAGAUCCGGAGGAACACCAGAGGCGAAGGCGGCCUACUGGGUCAGUACUGACGCUGAGCCGCGAAAGCCAGGGGAGCGAACGGG